RNAcentral lists this ribosomal RNA (458 nucleotides) under uncultured bacterium. Its description in RNAcentral is "partial 16S ribosomal RNA". It matches the Rfam family "Bacterial small subunit ribosomal RNA", at positions 28 to 507 of the family's 1533-position model. The record is from RNAcentral.
GACGAACGCUGGCGGCGUGCUUCAUACAUGCAAGUCGAACGAGAAGCUGACUUCGGUCAGUGGAAAGUGGCGGACGGGUGAGUAAUAUGUAGGAAAUCUGCCUUUAGGAGGGGGACAACAGAGGGAAACUUCUGCUAAUACCCCAUAUGAGCGUAGCUGAAAUGCUAUUCCUGAAAACUCCGGUGCCUAAAGAUGAGCCUGCAUCUGAUUAGCUAGUUGGUAGUGUAAUGGACUACCAAGGCGACGAUCAGUAGCUGGUUUGAGAGGAUGAUCAGCCACAAUGGGACUGAGACACGGCCCAUACUCCUACGGGAGGCAGCAGUAGGGAAUUUUGCGCAAUGGGCGCAAGCCUGACGCAGCAACGCCGCGUGAACGAUUAAGCCCUUCGGGGUGUAAAGUUCUGUCAGUGGGGACGAAACUUGACGGUACCCACAGAGGAAGCACCGGCUAACUCCGUG